RNAcentral lists this ribosomal RNA (499 nucleotides) under Physella pomilia. RNAcentral describes it as "Physa pomilia partial 16S ribosomal RNA". The stretch from base 1 to 153 matches the Rfam family "Archaeal large subunit ribosomal RNA", at positions 1898 to 2084 of the family's 2987-position model. The record is from RNAcentral. Lineage: Eukaryota; Metazoa; Mollusca; Gastropoda; Physidae.
AACAAAAACAUAGUCGGUAGAAUAUUUAAUUAUAUUAUAUUAUCGAUAUCUUCUGCCCGGUGUUCUUGUAUUAACGGCCGCAGUACCUUGACUGUGCUAAGGUAGCAUAAUCAAUUGGCUAUUAAUUGUAGUCUGGAAUGAAUGAAGGAAUGAAUAAAUACUAUAAUAAUUAGAUUAAUUUUAAUUUAGUCAGUUGGUGAAAAUACCAACUAAAAGAAAAAAGACGAGAAGACCCUUAGAAUUUUUAAAUAAUUUGAUUUACUGGAUAAAAAAUAAUUCUUUUCUCUCAGAAUAUCAAAAGUUUUUUGUUGGGGCGACAAGAAAACAAAUAAUUAAACUUUUCUAAAUAAUUAUUUUAUUUGACGAAAUUUUUAUGAAUAAAGAAAUUACCUUAGGGAUAACAGCAUAAUGAUAUUAAUUAGUUUGUGACCUCGAUGUUGGACUAGGAUCUUAACCACUAACAGUGUAAAAAGAUUGUUCUGUUCGAACAGUAACUUCC